GCAUGCCUUUGUCUCAUUUAAGAUGAAAUUCUCAAGCAGACAUCAUUCCAUAAUUCCUCUGAGGUGCCAUCUGAAGAAGCCACUACAAUAGGCAAAUCAGUUACAAAGAGAGAUGUAAAUGAAGAUCAUGUUUCAGAGGCGAUUGACACCAGAGAAUCCCCUCUGUUCCUCAGAGAUGUACAAGGCCUUGCAACUAGCAUGACAGAAACAGCAGUUAGCCGAGGUGUCCGUGGUGGGAACAUGCCCUGUGCACAGCUGUUAAGCUUCAUGCGCCACAACAUCGUUGUCACUGCCUUUAUCGUGGGUGCUAUCUU
Long non-coding RNA from Ochotona princeps (American pika), 314 nucleotides. RefSeq lists it as uncharacterized. NCBI's taxonomy places the organism in Eukaryota, Metazoa, Chordata, Mammalia, Lagomorpha, Ochotonidae. The record is from RefSeq and is a predicted model, not a curated record. The transcript is spliced from 3 exons.